RNAcentral lists this ribosomal RNA (490 nucleotides) under Bacillus subtilis. Its description in RNAcentral is "bacterial SSU rRNA". It matches the Rfam family "Bacterial small subunit ribosomal RNA", at positions 565 to 1053 of the family's 1533-position model. Lineage: Bacteria; Bacillati; Bacillota; Bacilli; Caryophanales; Bacillaceae. The record is from RNAcentral.
GGGCUCGCAGGCGGUUUCUUAAGUCUGAUGUGAAAGCCCCCGGCUCAACCGGGGAGGGUCAUUGGAAACUGGGGAACUUGAGUGCAGAAGAGGAGAGUGGAAUUCCACGUGUAGCGGUGAAAUGCGUAGAGAUGUGGAGGAACACCAGUGGCGAAGGCGACUCUCUGGUCUGUAACUGACGCUGAGGAGCGAAAGCGUGGGGAGCGAACAGGAUUAGAUACCCUGGUAGUCCACGCCGUAAACGAUGAGUGCUAAGUGUUAGGGGGUUUCCGCCCCUUAGUGCUGCAGCUAACGCAUUAAGCACUCCGCCUGGGGAGUACGGUCGCAAGACUGAAACUCAAAGGAAUUGACGGGGGCCCGCACAAGCGGUGGAGCAUGUGGUUUAAUUCGAAGCAACGCGAAGAACCUUACCAGGUCUUGACAUCCUCUGACAAUCCUAGAGAUAGGACGUCCCCUUCGGGGGCAGAGUGACAGGUGGUGCAUGGUUGUC